RNAcentral lists this ribosomal RNA (468 nucleotides) under uncultured bacterium. RNAcentral's name for it is "partial 16S ribosomal RNA". It matches the Rfam family "Bacterial small subunit ribosomal RNA", at positions 28 to 507 of the family's 1533-position model. The record is from RNAcentral.
GACGAACGCUGGCGGCGUGCUUAACACAUGCAAGUCGAACGGAAAGGCCCUGCUUUUGUGGGGUGUUCGAGUGGCGAACGGGUGAGUAACACGUGAGUAACCUGCCCUUGACUUUGGGAUAACUUCAGGAAACUGGGGCUAAUACCGGAUAGGAGCUCCUGCUGCAUGGUGGGGGUUGGAAAGUUUCGGCGGUUGGGGAUGGACUCGCGGCUUAUCAGCUUGUUGGUGGGGUAGUGGCUUACCAAGGCUUUGACGGGUAGCCGGCCUGAGAGGGUGACCGGCCACAUUGGGACUGAGAUACGGCCCAGACUCCUACGGGAGGCAGCAGUGGGGAAUAUUGCACAAUGGGCGGAGGCCUGAUGCAGCAACGCCGCGUGCGGGAUGACGGCCUUCGGGUUGUAAACCGCUUUCGCCUGUGACGAAGCGUGAGUGACGGUAAUGGGUAAAGAAGCACCGGCUAACUACGUG